UUUUUGAAAUCUUUCAAUAGAUCUAUAAUAACCAGUGUUUGAAAUUUCUUCGUUGUUGUCGAUAUUUCUGUGGAAAGAUCUAAAAAAUCAGAAAAGAUAUGGAAAUGGGAGUGAACUCUCUUAAGAUUAGACUAAAAUCGACAGAUUUCAUCGAUAUUUUUGACAUAUUGGUUAAAUAUCCAAGAAGCUUUUAUAUUUCUUCCAAACCAGUGUUUCACGUUCCUUAAAGUUUCAAUUUUAAAUUUCCACCAUUUCCACCAAAAGUAACCGAUAUCGAUAUUCGAUAUAGUAGUCGAUAUUUCCAUAAAUUUGUAGAUCGAUAUUUUCAUGGAUACUGAUGUCGAUGCAAAUUUCCGCCAUCUUUAGUCUUGACAAAAAUGCACCUACAAAAUAAUCAACACCUUUGAUCAAAGGCCUAAGCCUCAUGCGUCCACGAGGUGGGGGAGGGGGGGGGUUAGGCCUAUGGAUCUCCUACACCUAAGUUAGUUUAUUUGAAAAGAGUAAGUGUUUGGGGGUUUUAGGGGUAGCGAAAGCUUACUGAAAUUUGGUACAGAUGGAAGUAUUUAUAGGAGGAGGGGCCGACCAUGGUGUUAGGGUUUUACCCUAUACAUGGUGGCAUCCUAUUGGCCAAGGUUUAUGGAGAGAAUAUUCUCAAGAUAUUAAAUAGGAAAUGAUAUCUUGAGAUAAUCGUGUAAAUAUCCCUAAUUAAUUUAAAUAGACAUUACUUACUUGAAUGGAGUUAAUCUUCAAAUGGGAAUGUAUUAAGGAUAGGAUUUGGUAAUUAAUCCUUAUCUUUAGUGCCUUGACUUUUCCUUGCCAUGGGCAAGUGAGCUAUGGGCGGUCGUAUUUAGCUGUUUGGACAUUCAAGGGUGCUGAGCUGCUCGUGGGAGUAUAUGAGAAGUUUGCCCAUUUAAUGAGGGCAAUCUUGUCUUUCUUGAGCAAAAGUCCACGUGUUGCAUCUAAGAUUUUUGGGAUUAUUUUAGGCUCCACAAAUGCCCCCACACUUGCUGGGUUGUAUGUAGGAUAAAAAGGCAGCAUGUGUAGAAGUCCCAAGUUGUAUGGGUGUGUAGAGUUGUUUCCCAAUUGGAUAUAGAUCUCCUUCUUUGACUUGGAGAUAGACUUUUCGAGGAUAAGGAAACCAAUUGCCCACAAUACCUAUUUAAUUCUGCCUUAAGCAGAGGAUUAAAUAAAUUUGGAGAACAAUCUUCAUUCCAACAAGGAAGAAAGAUACUAGAGGAAAUUUGUUCCCCCUCCCUUAACUCUCUUCUUCUCUUGCCCUUGCAAAAAGUCAUUUCUCAUUGUUGUUCUUCUUCUAUGCGCCGCACUAAGGUACGAAAAAGGUAAUUUUCUUUGUCUUCUUGGGUCAUGCUGCUGCGAGGCAGUUGUUGAGAUGGUGUGGGACGUCUGUUGGCAAGGGCCAGGGGGCGAGCAGGUGGUGUGGCAAGGGCUAUGGCUUGGAUUGUUCAGCUCCACUGGAGCUAAAGGCAACUGUACAGCUUGGGCUGCGACUUAAGGUGAUGGGGCACAAUGUAGAGCGAAUAAUGAGGUUCGAGCUCCUUUUAGGGGUCUGAAUUUGACAUAGGCCAGUUAGGCAUACCGAGUGGUGUAGAGCAACUAAGCUCUUGUCAUAGGUUGCUUGAUGCCUCAAUCAAAGGUGAUCAUGAAUGGGUGAGGUGAAUGACGUGUUAGGAAUGAAGCUGGGAGAGUUGCGAGGCUUUAGCCUUUCUAGAUUUGGGCUUAGCGUGGGCUAAGUAUGACGAGGCAUGCUCGGGCCUAAGGGAGAGAGAGAAAGAUGCGUGGGGUGCCAUCUUUCUUGCUCGUGACUUGGGCCACAUACUAGGUUUCUUAGGUUAAGAAUUGCUUGGCUGGGGCCACAAUUUGGGCCCCAGGCGCUGUGCUUGCCAAGCUGAGCACGUGUCUGUGCCACUAAGGAGAAAAAGAUGUGGACUAAUGCCCAUAUGAGUCUGGCAUCAAUUGCAGAGAAAAGGGGACUAGGUUGUGAGGCUUGUCAUAUACUGCUGAAAAAGCUUGUCAUUGAUCUGACUUCUUUCAAGAAGAAGGAAAAGACUAUUGAGUCCGAGCCUGUGAAACUUGCUGUUUUGAAUGUGACCAUUGUUGAGAGAAUUGCUUAGUGAAAGGGUUCAGUGGUGCUCUAGUGUCUAGGUUUGAUCGAAGUGUGUGUCUAGAGCUAAGUUCGGUUCGGCUUCUGAAAGGCUUACCGCUAUGAAGAGCAGGAAGGUGGAAUCUGAUGCUAAAGUGGCUCAUGGGCUUGUUCCUCUUUCUACCAUGACUGAUUCGUUUGCUGAGAAAGGGAAGUCUACUUUUAUGGGCAGUAGUGAGAAGUCUACCGAGUUAGGCUCUGAGGAAUUUCUUGAGGUUUAUGCACUGCUGAAAGAUGACCUGCUUGAGGACAUCGAUGCAUGCGCCAAGUUUCUUGAUAGUGUUGGGAAUUUGAUCUACUCAGACUCUUUUGUGAAGCGUCAUGCCUACUUAAGGAGGUCAUUCUUGCUUGCAACUAUGCAGAAAACUUUGAUCCUGGUAAUUGAGUAUAUGUGCAUUGAUCAAGAUGCUGUUGAGGAUGCUAAGGAGGUUGAAAGGGGUUUGAUGUCUCUACCCUCGCUUCUGUGUAGUUGGAGACCGUUCAUUUAGAGGUCGUCAAUUUGAAGGCUAAGCUUAGUGCGACUCAGCUGAUGUUGGAAACUGCAGAGAAGGAAGUCAGUUAUGUUGCACCGUGGCCCAUGACCUUAAGCGUGUAAAUUUGGAGCUACAAUCUGCUUGUUUUUCCAAGAGCGAUGAGCUUAUCUUCAUGCAUGAAGUGCUCGUUUCAAGGAUAUUGCCAGUAAGCUUGAGUCCAAGGAAGUGGAUCUACAAAGUUCGCUGUUUGCUAGCAAGAACCUGAAGAAGGAAUUGGAUAAGCUGUAUGAUGCUCACACUAGGCUUGUUGGGGAGAAUGCCUGGCUGAAGAAUGAGAGGGUUGGUCAUGAAGUGGAGCUUGCUCCUUAUUAAGUCGAUUUCUCCAAGCUUGGCUAUGUAGACCAUCUUUAGGGUAAGCCGUUGCCUUAUGAGUUUCCUGAGAAGAACUUCGAGACUUACUCCAUUUCUCUAGUUGAUUUGCUUAACUUCUCGUUUGAGGCUACCUUUGGUGGAGCAACUGAGGGUCAUUCUGUCCAGGCAGGGGUGACUGAAGAUGAGAUGAUGGAAGCUUUGGCUACUGAGAGCGGUGUGGCUGCUGAAGGCGUGGCAGUUGAGGAACCAGUGGUUGCACAUGCAGGCUGCCGAUGAGUAGUCUUUUUUCUUAGACUUAUGAAUUUUCUUCUUUUCCUUUUCGUUCUGCUUUAUUUGAACUUUAUUGGCCUUCGAGCCAGUUUAUCAAUUUGCUAGAAAUUUAAUAAACUACUUUCUUUGCUUUGCUUCAUCCUAGCUAUUUCGCCAUGUCUUUUGCAAAACUUUACCGUAGGGCAACCGGGUGAGCUGCUUCGGCGAAGCAUGGUCACUUUAGGUUUUAGUUUUGGCUUUGAGGCUUCGAGACUUAGGGAGCCUUGCCUAAUCGAGGCGCUUGCAAAACUUUGCCAUAGGACGGGUGCUGAGUUGGCUACUUUGAUGAAAGAUGAAAAUGUACCUGCAAAACAAUCAACACCUUUGAUCCAAGACCUAAGCCUCACUCACCGAAGAAGCCGAGGGGGGGGUGUUAGGCCUAUGGAUUUCUAACGCCUAAGUUAGUUUCUAUGAAAAGAGUAAGUGUUUAUGGCUUUUGAGGGUAGCAAAAGCUUUUGUAGAGAUAGAGGUAUUUAUAGGAGGAGAAGCUAGCCAUGGUGUUACAGUUUAACCCUACAUAUAGAGGCAUCCUAUUGGCCAAGGUGUAUGGAGAUAAUAUUCUUAAGAUAUUAAAUAGGAAAUAAUAUCUUAAGAUAUUGGUGCAAAUAUCCCUAAUAUCUUGAAAUAAUAUCUUUAAAUAGGAAUGUAUUAAAGAUAGGAUCUGUGUACUUAAUCUUUAUCUUUAAUGCUUUGACUUUUCCUUGCCAUGGGCAGGUGAGCUGUGGGUAAUCGUAUUUAGCUGUUUGGACCUUCAGGGGUGCUGAGCUGCGCGUGGGAGUAUCUGAGAAGUCUGCCUAUUUAAUGAGGGCAAUCUUGUCUUUCUUGAGUAAAAGUUCACAUGUCAUCUCUAAGAUUUUUAGGAUUAUAUAGGCUCCACAACCAAUAUUUUAAACACUGAUGGUAAUUGGUUCAUAUGCACCUAGAUAGACACCAAUCAUUUUUACAACUGAACCUAUGUUUUAACUUGUCCUUUAGUGAUUCACCAAGGGACAUCAAAUUUUGUCUCCUACAUAACACACUUAAGCCAUCGCACCCCAUAAACUACACCAAGAUUCUACAUCCCCAGUUGUUUGUAUAGCAUGCAAACAUUUCAAAAUAAAGAACAAUUGAACCAAAGAAAACGAAGCUCAUCUAAAACAGUCUUUGGGCCCAAAGUACAAGUUGGGUAAGUACAACGUGCUCUAGUCAAAGACAAUAGUAGCCCAAUUGAGUCCUUAUACUAAAGGACUGUAAAGAGAUUACAUUUUGAGCAAGGUUCAGCCGAGUCCCAAAAAGACUAAAGCUGUUAUAGAUUGGCGGUCGAUUAUGAUAAGUUGGGGUUGUUCAAAGGAUCAGAAUUCAUGCUUAAUCAGAUGACAAGAACUUAAGUCUAGGUUCAAAAUCCUGAUUCAAAUGGGAAGCCAAGACUGGAUCAGGGUUAAGUUUCAGUUAAGAAAAGAUAGGUUGGAAUGUUUUCGGAAAUGCCGAGGAGGCUCAGUCCUAUCAAGACUCUACCUCGGCAAACCUGCUCAUCCUUAAGGCCUUGCCUAUUGUUGACAAAAUUAGAUUAACCAAAAUCAACCCAAUUAAGUUCAAAUUUUAAUGCUUGCAAGUGUAUGAAUUGUAUUAUAAUGUAAUAAGCAAGCACAAGAUUGUUCCAACUAAGAUUGAUAUAAUUCUAACUAGCAUUUGCCUACACACUUUGUGUAUAUGAACACAUUUUGUUAGAAAAUGAGAAGGAGAGAGGGGGGAGUGAGAGGUUUUUGUUUUUGGUUUUUUUUUUAAUUUUUAAUUUUAAAUAUUAGAGAUAUUUUAAUCACCUGUAGGUGAGGCUUCAAUAAAAAGCAGUAAAAUUUGAACCUGUGAAAUUACAUUAUUGCCCAUCUUUAUUUUGUGUGAUAGAAGACUAAGUUGUCUUUUUACCCUCUUUUGGUUGACAAAGAGGGUUUUAUUAAUUAGUAUAGAUUAUCUAACUUAAUUUAAAUUACACUUGAAUUUCCCAUUGAAAUUGAACGAUUGAUGAUUAGAGAAACAUUUAUGAAAUUGUAAUUGUAAAUAAAAAGGAAAUGAGAUUAACAAGUGAUUGAGAAUGACGAACAACUAGAAAAAAAAUUAUAAUUCGAUUGUGAAGGGCACUAGAGUAUCUGAUUCACCAUAACCAAUCAAACUCAAUUCCACAGUUUAUUAUUAAUGAAUAAGCAUCCAACUUGACGGUUUAGUUCCUCUAAUUCAUGUAGUAUCUAUGACAUCCAGACUACUAAGUAUACUCAUAUAGGCUAACAAUCUAUGACAUCUAGAUUAAUAAACACAUACGAGUUCAUUAACGAUUUAGGAACAUAUGAGUUCAUUAAUGAUUUAGGAACUAAGGGGCCGCAUGUAACAUCCCACAUCGCCCAGGGGAGUGAUCCUUAAAUGUAUAUUCUCAUCCCUACCUAACACGAGGCCUUUUGGGAGCUCACUGGUUUCGGGUUUCAUACGAACUCCGAAGUUAAGCGAGAAGGAGGUCAGAGCACUCCUAGGAUGGGUGACCCACUGGAAAGUUGCUCGUGAGUUCCCAAAAACAAAACCGUGAGGGAAUGGUAAGCCCAAAGCGGACAAUAUUGUGCUAUGGUGGUGGAGCGGGCCCGGAAAGUGAUCCGCCCCGGGCCGGGAUGUGACACCUCAUGAAACCUAGUGUAUGACAUUUAAAUCAAGUAAUUCACGGUAUCAUUUGCAUGAUGCUAAAACCGAAUUAACAACAUGACAAUUGUAAUAAUUAUCAUCAAAUACACUCAAUGCUAAAACCGAAUUAACAACAUGACAAUUGUAAUAAUUAUCAUCAAAUACACUCAAUUUCAACCAAAGUGGUGGCCAAUCACCAAGAUCAAAACUAAACACAUAAGCACAGUAAAAUGAUACUCAAAGUGAAUGAAAUUACAAUAAUAAAUAAACUAAGAAAUGAAGCACUCAUCGCUAGGCAACUUCGUAGCCCUAACGAAAAGAAAUUAGUUUUGAAACAUAAGCGGAAAUAUUAUUGAAUUCAUAAAAUUAAGAAGAAAAUUAAAUUCAGAAAAACUCCUGAAAAGUCCCCUUGCUCUCUGCCGCACCAAGCUUGUUGUAACCUUGUGAAAGUAGUGCGUCUGGUGGGUGGCUUUGUAUUCUCCAAUAAAUGAUCAUCUUCCUUCUUCUUAUUUGUCUUCUCUUUCAUUUCUCCAGCAGCCUAAUUAUUGAUAGAAUAAUGCCAAAACAAACUCCAGCUGUUUUAUUUUGUUUCUUUGUCUUCCCCCUUUGUUCUUCCUUGUAUCCUUUUCCCUAACCGACGAAAACUUAACGCAAAUUUAUUACUAACAGCAAACGAAAAGAGGAGUAUUGAAUUCCUUGAUAGCCACUUUGUGCAUUUACACACCAUCAUUGAUUUCUCAAUGAAGAAAUGCAUACUUUUGUGCCUCUUGGGUUUACUCGCUGCAGCAUAUCGUCCCAAUUAACUUCUUCGACUCUCCAUUUGAUUUGCAGCGGACUCUGGAAAUGAUUAAUCUCCACUGAAAUUAAUGAAAUGAAAAGCCACAGAUGCCUGAUUCAUGCUCUCGUUGAAAACCCAUGAAUUGAAGAUGAGAUUGGAAAGUUGAUUCUCCAUCCUUCUAUUUGACAAAGUAUGUCGGCUGUGCCUGGGAAAUGGGAGAGAGAAAAGCAAGACUUUGGUUUCUUUGUCUGUUCAAAUGCAGGACAAAGAUUAAGCCCCUUGUGAGAGUUGUAAAAGUCACGUGCUAGAUCAUCACAAUUUUAUUCCAUUGAGUAACCUACAAAGAGAUUUGUGUUGCCAUGAGUAGGGAUGAUAAUUCUAACCGUUAAAAUCCGAUAACCGUGGUUAACGGACCGAAUGGAACAGAUUUGGGUAUGAAAGUUUGGAUAUAAUUUGAAUACGAGGAAAAACGGUUUAUAUUAUUCGGUUAUGAUUUUGGAUAUGGUUAUAGGGGUUCCUAAACCA
Molecule: long non-coding RNA, 7258 nt
Filed under: Malus domestica (apple)
Lineage: Eukaryota; Viridiplantae; Streptophyta; Magnoliopsida; Rosales; Rosaceae
Description: long non-coding RNA (MDOM_LNC009283)
Source: RNAcentral